Long non-coding RNA from Perca flavescens (yellow perch), 654 nucleotides. RefSeq lists it as uncharacterized. The transcript has 2 exons. NCBI's taxonomy places the organism in Eukaryota, Metazoa, Chordata, Actinopteri, Perciformes, Percidae. The record is from RefSeq and is a predicted model, not a curated record.
GGGACACAAACCUCAUACACUUCCUGCUUCCUCUGAGCCGUCAUGGAGGCACCGGUGGGGUUUCCUCCGUUGGGGAUGGUGUAGAGGAUUUUGGGGGCAGUGCUGCUGGGCUUAUUAACCUCUGAGGGGUCCCACCGAGACAAAACCUCCUUCAGGGCUGCGGGUAUCAUGCCGUGCUGAUCGCUGGGGACGUUGAUUAAGUUGCAACCAAGCGGCUGGAGCUACAGAGGAAAAAAGAAGUUUGGAAGGCUGAGGAUAGGAUUCUACAAAACAAGGACUCCUGUGUUAAUCUCUCACCCAUUAGAGGCAGAGUACUGCAGAGCCCUCUUCAUUGCUACAUCAUCAAAAGUGAGCGUCUGUCCGUUCUUCAACUUAAUGGAUGCUGACUGGAAGGGGAAGGUGUUGGGGUUGGGUGCUCCUCCCGCCAAAGAGAUCAGGGACGGAGGUGACCGCUGCUGCAGCUCAGCUUUAUACCGGUGGAGAAAUAGAUGAGAUGGAUAGAUAGGCAUUUGGGCUAAAAUAAGGCGACAUUUGUUGUUUGAGGCAUUUAUAUGUCCCCAUUUUACAUACAUAACAGCUGUUGUUGUUUUAGCAUUUCAGUGACUGUGUCUCGGUGUAUGGCCAGGUUAAUUAAUAAAGUGAAUGGAAAAAGUG